GGGCGAUUAGCUCAGUGGGAGAGCGCUACCUUGACACGGUAGAGGUCACAGGUUCAAUCCCUGUAUCGCCCACCA
RNAcentral lists this transfer RNA (75 nucleotides) under Allokutzneria albata. RNAcentral's name for it is "tRNA_Val_GAC". It matches the Rfam family "tRNA". Rfam says of the family: Transfer RNA (tRNA) molecules are approximately 80 nucleotides in length. RNAcentral also lists the same sequence under 7 other names. The record is from RNAcentral. Lineage: Bacteria; Bacillati; Actinomycetota; Actinomycetes; Pseudonocardiales; Pseudonocardiaceae.